AAGCAGUGUGACAUGCCCGUCGUUUGUUGAACUCUGAUUAUUUUAUUUUUUAUUAAUUGUUUGGGGUAACGGGGUGUUACACUUUA
Molecule: microRNA precursor, 86 nt
Filed under: Medicago truncatula (barrel medic)
Lineage: Eukaryota; Viridiplantae; Streptophyta; Magnoliopsida; Fabales; Fabaceae
Description: MIR2617 microRNA precursor family
Rfam family: MIR2617 microRNA precursor family
Source: Rfam by way of RNAcentral